GACGAACGCUGGCGGCGUGCUUAACACAUGCAAGUCGAACGGAAAGCCGCUGCUUCUCUGGCUUGCUCGGGUGGCGAACUGGGGAAUGACACGUGAGCAUCCUGCCCUUUCCUGUGUAAUAACUUGAGACAACUGGUGCUAAUACCUGAUAGCAGCUGCUGCUACAUGGAGGGGGUUGGAAAGUAUCGGCGCUGGGGGAGCGCCUCGCGUCUUAUCAGCUUGUUGGGGGGGUAGUGGCCUACCAAGGCGUUGGCGGGUAGCCGUCCGGAGAGGGUGGACGGCCACAAGGGGACUGAGAUACGGCCCUUACUCCUAGGGGAGGCAGCAGUGGGGAAUAUUGGACAAUGGGGGCAGCCCUGAGCCAGCAAGUCGGUGUGGACAAUGAAGGUUUUCGGAUUGAAAAGGGCUUUCAGCAGGGAAGAAAAAAAUGACGGUACCUGCAGAAGAAGCGACGGCUAAAUACGUG
Molecule: ribosomal RNA, 466 nt
Filed under: uncultured bacterium
Lineage: Bacteria
Description: partial 16S ribosomal RNA
Rfam family: Bacterial small subunit ribosomal RNA
Source: RNAcentral